This 351-nucleotide ribosomal RNA is filed under the name uncultured bacterium. RNAcentral's name for it is "partial 16S ribosomal RNA". It matches the Rfam family "Bacterial small subunit ribosomal RNA", at positions 338 to 681 of the family's 1533-position model. The record is from RNAcentral.
CCUACGGGAGGCAGCAGUAGGGAAUCUUCCACAAUGGACGAAAGUCUGAUGGAGCAACGCCGCGUGAGUGAAGAAGGGUUUCGGCUCGUAAAGCUCUGUGGGUAGAGAAGAAAGAUAGAGGUAGUAACUGGCCUUUAGUUGACGGUAAUGACGUAGAAAGGCAGGGCUAACUACGUGCCAGCAGCCGCGGUAAUACGUAGGUGGCAAGCGUUGGCCGGAUUUAUUGGGCGUAAAGCGAGUGCAGGCGGUUCAAUAAGUCUGAGGUGAAAGCUUUCGGCUCAACCGGAGAAUUGCAUCAGAAACUGUUGACCUUGAGUGCCGCAGAGUAGAGUGGAACUCCAUGUGUAGCGG